CAAUAGCGUAUAUUAAAGUUGUUGCAGUUAAAAAGCUCGUAGUUGGAUUUGUGGCGUACGGUGUGUUCCGGGCACUUGUUGUCUGAGUAACCUGCUGUUGCCAUCCUUGGGUGGAACCUGUGUGGCCUUAGGUUGUCGUGCAGGGGAUGCCCAUCAUUUACUGUGAAAAAAUUAGAGUGUUCAAAGCAGGCUUAUGCCGUUGAAUAUAUUAGCAUGGAAUAAUGAGAUAGGACUUUUUUGCUAUUUUGUUGGUUUGCGCAAAGAGGUAAUGAUUAAUAGGGACAGUUGGGGGUAUUCGUAUUCCAUUGUCAGAGGUGAAAUUCUUGGAUUUUUGGAAGACGAACUACUGCGAAAGCAUUUACCAAGGAUGUUUUCAUUAA
Molecule: ribosomal RNA, 380 nt
Filed under: uncultured eukaryote
Lineage: Eukaryota
Description: partial 18S ribosomal RNA
Rfam family: Eukaryotic small subunit ribosomal RNA
Source: RNAcentral